UACGUAGGGGGCAAGCGUUGUCCGGAAUCAUUGGGCGUAAAGCGCGCGUAGGCGGCCCUGGUAAGUCCGCUCUGAAAGUCCAGGGCUCAACCCUGGAAAGCGGGUGGAUACUGCCGGGCUAGAAUCCGGAAGAGGCGAGUGGAAUUCCUGGUGUAGCGGUGGAAUGCGCAGAUAUCAGGAGGAACACCAAUAGCGAAGGCAGCUCGCUGGGACGGUAUUGACGCUAAGGCGCGAAAGCGUGGGGAGCAAACAGG
This 254-nucleotide ribosomal RNA is filed under the name uncultured bacterium. Its description in RNAcentral is "partial 16S ribosomal RNA". It matches the Rfam family "Bacterial small subunit ribosomal RNA", at positions 524 to 776 of the family's 1533-position model. The record is from RNAcentral.